Molecule: RNA transcript, 1884 nt
Organism: Dendrobium catenatum
Lineage: Eukaryota; Viridiplantae; Streptophyta; Magnoliopsida; Asparagales; Orchidaceae
Source: RefSeq, a predicted model, not a curated record
GGCAUCACCGUUAGAACUUAGAAGCGUACAAAGCACGCCUCUCUGUUUACCACAGGUGGGGCUAUCCGUCAACCACCGUCUCCCUUCCUUCUUCCUUGCAGAUUAACCCACGUUAUUGCAGAACUGCCACGAUGUCCGCCGGAGCCAUCAUCGGCGGUGGCUGCACCUUCCUCGAUGCCCAUUCCCUACGUUCCCUCCUCCCGCCGUCCUCCCUCAUACCCCACUUCCUCUCCUCCCUUCCUUCCCACUCCGCUGCCGUUAACUCCCCCUUUCGCCAAAGCUUCGCCAUCGAUCCAUCAAACUCCUCCUCGCUUCUCCUCAUGCCCUCCUGGUCUUCCUCCCCGUCCCUCCCAUACAUUGGCAUCAAGAUAGUCACCUCUUUCCCCCACAACACAUCCUUAGGCCUCCCUGGCAUCUCCGCCUCCUACGUCCUCUUCAGCUCCUCCACCGGCGCUUCCCUCGCCGCCAUCGAUGGCACCGAGCUCACGCUCCUCCGCACCUCGGCCGUCUCAGCCCUUGCCGCCCGCUUCCUCGCGCGUGACGACGCGCGCGUUCUUAUCAUGGUUGGCGCAGGCGCUCUCGCGCCUUACCUCAUCCGCGCCCACAGAUAUGUUCGCCCGGGAAUCGAGAGGGUCAUCAUCUGGAACCGAUCGGUUUCCAAGGCACGGGAUCUUGUAAAACGGCUUCAGGAGGAGGAGAAAGAAGGGGGAAAUGUAGUUUUCGAGCAUGUAGAAAUAUUGGACAACGUGAUUGGAAUCGGAGACGUGGUGAGCUGCGCGACAAGCUCGCAGGAUCCGAUUGUGAAAGGGGGAAAGCUUAAGCCGGGGGCGCAUCUCGAUCUGGUGGGUUCGUUCAGCCCCGCGAUGAGGGAGUGUGACGACGAGGCUUUAGUAAGGGGUAGAGUGUUUGUGGAUUUCGAGCCGGCCGUGGCGGAGGCUGGUGAGUUGGUUGGUGCCUUCGAGAGAGGGACUAUUUCCCGUGAGGAUGUGAUAGGGACUCUGGUCGAUUUGGCUGGAGGUAUGAAGGUUGGGAGGAGAAGUCCAGAGGAGAUCACCGUGUUCAAGUCUGUGGGAACAGCCGUGGUUGAUCUUCUCGCGGGGCAGUUGGCUUAUGAGACUCAUAUCAGAGGUGCCAAAUUGAGAUUAAGGCCCUCUUGAAGUCUGGAAUUUGGCUCACCUUAUAAAGCUUUCAUGUAGCACCAUUAGCGAUUUUGAUUUGCUCAAGGGCUCAUAUUCCACAAGAUAAACCUUGUUUGUUGCAAAAGGCUUCUCAUAUAUGUCUAAUAAAGUUUUAAUCACUUUGGUUGUGCUCUUCUCAACUAUGCUGGAUGUUUUGUUAGCGCAAGGAUAAAGCUCCUAGUGGUAAUUAAGCUCCACAUAUUAGCAUUGCUUAGCAAGUGCUGAAAAGGAAGUUGAUUGUAUGAUAGAGCUAUCUGCGUUGGUGUUAUUCCUUACCUUCGAAUGAGUAAUUGAAGGGACCUUUAAGAAGACCACAUAAAUUGAGUUCAACAAGGUGGGUCACAUUGAGUUCUAUCAGAAGACUGCUGGGAGCUUGGUCCUUCAAAGCUGUAUUUUCCUUGCCUGAGAAUCAGGUCCAUCUGAAGUUAUCAAUAAAAAUCUGUGUAAUGUAACAAGAAUAACUUGCCAGAUCUUAAACGACUCCAGCCGCCGUCGCCUCAUUAGCCAAAGAUAAAGAUCUAAUUAAAACAAUAAAUAACAGUUCUUGUUGUUUAGGUGAAAGCUUCUUCCUGGAUUAAAGCCAAACGUCAGGUGAUUGUAGGGGAUGGUUCCUUGCCGUCCAUUUCUGGAUUUUGUUCAUCACCCACAUUACUAAUGAAACUCAUACAACUCUAUUUAAUGAGAACUGCAGUCUUUUUGGUUGAUU